UACGUAAGGUCCGAGCGUUGUCCGGAAUCAUUGGGCGUAAAGGGUACGUAGGCGGUUUAGAAGGUCAGAUGUUAAAGCGUGAGGCUCAACCUCAUAAAGCAUUUGAAACUUCUAGACUUGAGUAGUGGAGAGGAAAGUGGAAUUCCUAGUGUAGCGGUGAAAUGCGUAGAUAUUAGGAAGAAUACCAGUGGCGAAGGCGACUUUCUGGCCAUUAUCUGACGCUGAGGUACGAAAGCGUGGGUAGCAAACAGG
RNAcentral lists this ribosomal RNA (252 nucleotides) under uncultured bacterium. RNAcentral's name for it is "partial 16S ribosomal RNA". It matches the Rfam family "Bacterial small subunit ribosomal RNA", at positions 524 to 776 of the family's 1533-position model. The record is from RNAcentral.